CUCAAAUCAAAACUCCGAUUUCACCAAAAUGAUCCUCUCUUCUUCCUCUACAUAACCAUGUGACUUAUCAAGGCUGGAAAUAAGGAAUCAUGCUUAACUUGACUUGAGGGCCAAGAAACGUGACUUUCCAGAAAGUAUAAGGAAGAAAAAGUGCUUAAGGACCACCUGAAAGAGUAACCGGAUUUGAGGCAGCAAAUCAAG
Molecule: long non-coding RNA, 201 nt
Organism: Arachis stenosperma
Lineage: Eukaryota; Viridiplantae; Streptophyta; Magnoliopsida; Fabales; Fabaceae
Exons: 3
Source: RefSeq, a predicted model, not a curated record